CCUACGGGAGGCAGCAGUGGGGAAUAUUGGGCAAUGGGCGCAAGCCUGACCCAGCAACGCCGCGUGAAGGAAGAAGGCUUUCGGGUUGUAAACUUCUUUUCUCAGGGACGAAGCAAGUGACGGUACCUGAGGAAUAAGCCACGGCUAACUACGUGCCAGCAGCCGCGGUAAUACGUAGGUGGCAAGCGUUAUCCGGAUUUACUGGGUGUAAAGGGCGUGUAGGCGGGACUGCAAGUCAGAUGUGAAAUCCCGCGGCUAAACCGCUGAACUGCAUUUGAAACUGUUUUUCUUGAGUACCGGAGAGGUCAUCGGAAUUCCUUGUGUAGCGGUGAAAUGCGUAGAGAUAAGGAAGAACACCAGUGGCGAAGGCGGAUGACUGGACGGCAACUGACGGUGAGGCGCGAAAGCGUGGGGAGCAAACAGGAUUAGAUACCCCGGUAGUC
This 443-nucleotide ribosomal RNA is filed under the name uncultured bacterium. RNAcentral describes it as "partial 16S ribosomal RNA". It matches the Rfam family "Bacterial small subunit ribosomal RNA", at positions 338 to 795 of the family's 1533-position model. The record is from RNAcentral.